This 3589-nucleotide long non-coding RNA is filed under the name Salmo salar (Atlantic salmon). Its description in RNAcentral is "lncRNA (ENSSSAG00000090863.1)". Lineage: Eukaryota; Metazoa; Chordata; Actinopteri; Salmoniformes; Salmonidae. The record is from RNAcentral.
GUGUGUGUGUGUGUGUGUGUGUAUCUUGGGAGCCAACAAUGCAGCCCUUGUGUCCCAUCACAAAAGGACAGUGCGCCAGACAGAGAGGGGGGGUGGGAGGAGGGGACAUUCUGGAAUCAGAAACAAUGGAUUAAUCGCCUGUAAUGAUUUAAUACAGGCAAUCAGAGUCCAGGCAAGCAUAUUAAUUUGCGCAUAAAUUACCCAACAUUUAUUUUUCAGACGGGGGGGGGGGUCAGCAUGUGUGGGCAGUUGGGUUGGUUUUGUCUUUUCCCAGGGACAUGGUGAAGGGUUGCGACAGAAUGCCCCCAGCGAUUCCCAUGCUUAUCUCUGUGCCCCGAGUCACCAGGUUUCAGCUCCCCUGGUCCCUGGUCCCACACCCGACCCGCUGGCGCUGCCCGCCCGCUGCCAGCAGCAGCUUGCCACCUUCCCAAGUAGAGAAUGUUAAACCAUUACAGCAGGUCAAACAUAAUUAAGAGUAAAAUGCCCGCUUCCUCGUCAACAUGAUUUUGUAGCAUUAAUGAUAUCCAGAGAUCACAGAAUACAUAUUUGCGAUUUGUUCUCUGCAAAAUCGUCUGCGAAAAAAAUAAGGAAAAAAAUCCAUUCCGUUAAAAGGUGCUGUAAUUACAGGGAUUACAUUUUUUCUCCAAAUCGUCCUGUAUUAAUUUACUAUAACCAUAGAUAUCCACAUAAUUUACAUACACACACACAUACUGUAUGUAUGACGAGUCCUUGCUGCGCAGAUUGGAAGACACUCAAUUAAUCCAAGUUGGAAAGGUUGAGCGCGACCACUUUUUUAAUUAACGUUCAAUUAAAACCAAUUGGCAGGUUGCUGGAAUAGCAGGCGCACGGCUUUGAAGAUUGCCAUCGCAUAAUGAGUCGCUCUUUUCUUUUUUUACACUUUGGGCUCCUCCAUUUCCACUCCCUCGCUCUCCGCUGCCAGUUGCCAAUGUGCCUUAGCGAUUUAAUGAUAUGCAAAUGAAAUAUGCAUAAAACCAUUCUGCUGAAGGAUGAUUAAGCACAGAGGACAUUAGCCAGUGCCCGCCACAGUGUCUGUUGUCUCCUCUCCAUUCCGCUUCGCCCGGCGCCAACGACAGACACCACUGGAACAAAGCUCAAUACCAAUUAUAGGAGAACACUAAUAAUAUCCAAUUGAGAGAAAUUAAAUUCCAGGCAGGGUAUUUUCUCACUCCUGUUUUGUAAGAUCCACAUCCAGAGAAGUGAAGGCAAAGUCCCCAGAGCUGAGGACUGGAGCUGUAGAGAGCAGAGAGGAAAGGAGAGGAGGCAGAGACCAGGUUUUCCAGGAUAGCACUUGAAGAGACUAGCAUUGCCAAGCAUUGCAGGAGCUUUUCUCUGCUUGUUUGCGAGUAGUGUUGCAUUAUUUGAAUGCUGUCUUAUUAUAGAAGGAAGGAAAAUAUCCCCCCUUUCUCAAUCUCUCUCUCUCUCUCAAUUUCCCUCCUUUCUCCCUCCUGUUCUCUGCUGCGAGCUCUCUUUUUUUUGGUAAUCCAUUUGUGUAAUGAAGACGUGGCGCAAUUAACAUCCCCCAUGGAAUUAAAUAAAAGGCCGAUCAUCCAAACCUCAUUAGCUCCGAAAGAUUAUAAUAUCCACACGCGUUCCGCCGUGAAGGUUACGGGAAAAAACACAACAGAAUCACGAAUUAAACCGUUAAUUGUGUGUAUUUGGAUCGCAGGUUUAAGCGACCGUGGCUUAGAUGCCCAAAAAGAUGCCACCAUCCAUACCAGCCUAUCCUUACUGGUGGCAGCCUGGCUCUGACAUCUUGGUGGUGUAUGCCAAGGCAGUGUAUGAAGCACAAAGAUCUUAUAAUCCCUCCCUUUGGAUGGCUUCUUCAAUUAUUCAUAUUCCACAACCGUGCCCUGUUGUCCAACAAAAAUCCAGCAAAAGGGAAAAAAAAGUUUGGGAUAUCCAUUUGUGAUGGCCAAUGGCUGAUGUUGAUUUCUUCCUCGCUAAUUGUUGUAAUUAUUCCGGCGCAAUUAGUAAAGUUAACGAAACCCUCCAAUCUGUCUGUUUGCAGCGGCGCCUAUCCUUGGCUCUGUGCCCGAUGCCAGUGGACCUCGUGGGAACCACGGCAACGUUCUUCCGGACCCCGAAGUUGUUCCUGUCACGCAUAAAUCCCACACACCUGGAGGAAACCAUGAUGCGCGAUAAGUUUUUCUUUGGCGAAAAACAAAAAGUACAAUUUAAACGAACGCAGAGAGAAAAGUAAAUAAAUUCCUGUCUGUCCGCUGAUUAUAAUUUGUGUUGGUACUUCAUUAGUAUGCGUCCUCAUGUUUGCAGUUUUUUCUUUUUGUGUGUGUGUCUUUGUAAACAGCUGCUGUUGAGACCUUGGCACAGUCCCUCACGUCCUUUCUUCCUCCCUCCUCUCUUGUGGCUGGCAGGCAGGCAGGCGAUUGGCAGGUUGGCAGGGUCUGCGGCAUGGAGGCAGGCAGCAGUGCCCAUGGUAGACAUUCCUCACCGCAGUGGCUGCCAGCCGGCUUGAUGAGAGCUGGAGGAAAAUGGUGUGUUAGAGGAGGAGGGGGGUGGGGGGGUUGGCACAAAAACAGGCACCAGCUUCACACCCUCCCCACAGAACAGCUUGCCGCUUUGUUUUGUUUGUAAUCUUUCCCAUUCCUUUCAUUUCGUCCGUCGCGCUAAUUAACAGAGCAAACUUUUGUUGUUCUAAUUAGUCAUUUGAAGCACUUGAUGGUCUUUGUUUUGCACUUGGCUUUCUUUAUCUUUGCCAAGCGACCCGCGACGGAUGCCCGAUCGUGUUGAUUUGCUCUUGAUCGUUGUGUACCAUUUCUCGCCCCCUUACACUUUUCCGCGACAGAUGCCACCGCGUUCCCGCUGGUACACCUCUCGAAGAUUGUGGGUACCGAAUCACCGCGCUCCUCGGGCAUCCUCAGAAGCGGUGACUUUCCCGCAAAUCCGUAAACACCACCUUCCAGAUGAAGAAGACAUGUUGCCUUUUCAUCGCCUGUGUUAUCCUAGGGUGCGCCGCGACUGUCGAUGAGCAGGUUGGCAUGGCGUACGCUGCCUGGCUGGCUGGCUGGCUGGCUGGCUGGUUGCCUGGCACAGGGGGUUGUGCUUGAGAAGGGAGAGCAAGAGAGCGAGAGAGAGAGAGGCGCUUCUUUUUGUCCCACCCCUCAGUCGUCUCUAGGACAACACCACAAGCUGCAAGUUUCUCUGUGUUGGUUGUUCUCAAAUUUCCACUUCCCCCACCAGUCCCUUGUGGCAGAGCCCAUUUCCUUCAUCUCCCCUGGUCCCUGGCUCAUUCGCCAUCCCCCUGGCAUCCUGCGCUGUGGGCCACCUAUCGUCUUUUGUUUUUUGUUUUCAAACCGAUACCUCCUCCCCCCACUCCUUGCCACCAUGCUAUGCCAAGCGCUCCAUCCCAACCCCCAAGGUGUCCCCUGAAAUUCCUCCAGGUGCGCCGCUCUUCUCUUCCCAUCAUCUGAAGGCUCCUUUCUUCUGUAAUCUGGGGCAGCAGAUGUUCUCCUCUUCUCCUCUGCGGGGGCAUUGACUUGACAUUGAGCCUUGUCUCCAGAACCCUAUCCGCAUCCGCACUCAAACUUCUACUAUUUGUAAAACACCCACC